GUGUGAACAGCCCGGUUGAAUCAUGGAUUUUGGAUUCUGGUGCAUCUUUCCAUUCGUCUCCAAGCAAGGAAUUGUUCCAAAAUUUCAAAUCUGAAAAUUUUGGAAAAGUAUAUCUUGCUGACAAUAAAGCCUUAGAGAUUGAAGAAAAGGGGGAUGUUUUCAUAAAGACCACCUCGGGAAACCUUUGGACAUUGGAGGAUGUCAGAUAUAUUCGUGGGAUCAAGAAAAAUCUGAUCUCUGUUGGUCAGUUGGAUAGCACGGGAUAUGCAGCAGAGUUUGGGAAAGGUUCGUGGAAAAUUGUGAAAGGUGCUAUGGUAGUAGCUCGUGACACAAAAUCUGGAACCUUG
RNAcentral lists this unclassified non-coding RNA (347 nucleotides) under Hevea brasiliensis (rubber tree). Lineage: Eukaryota; Viridiplantae; Streptophyta; Magnoliopsida; Malpighiales; Euphorbiaceae. The record is from RNAcentral.